Molecule: non-coding RNA, 8875 nt
Organism: Monodelphis domestica (gray short-tailed opossum)
Lineage: Eukaryota; Metazoa; Chordata; Mammalia; Didelphimorphia; Didelphidae
Source: RefSeq, a predicted model, not a curated record
UAAGCCUCGCGCAUGCCCAGAGCGGAGAGCUCAGCCCGGCUCCACCUUCCUCCUCCUCCCCUCCACAGGCCUCCGGGACGGAGUUGUGAGACGAUCCCUAGGGAGGCCAUCGAGCCAGGCGUCUGACUGGAGGUAUCCCAGGGCAGCCGGCCACCGCCGACGAGAGGCGGCCCUGGCCCAGAGCCAGCGGUCUGCGCAGGUAGCUACUCUGCAUCUCCAAUCUGCCGGCUGGGCCCACGGCUGGACCCAGGGCCACGAGCACCCUCUGCACUUUCUCCUCUCGGAACUUUGGCUCGAGCCGUGCCCCCUUCUUGGAGGAACCCCCCUACCCCACCCUACUGCUUCCUCUCUGCUUACUUCCAGACUUAGAUGCAGGCUCCAGCCCUCACAGGGCGUCGUCCAGCAGGAAACAGCCAGAUCCAGCACAGGGCCGGCAGAGCCUCCCCUCCAACCCUCCCAGAAACUUUGUCCGGAACUUGUUUUGAAAAUAUUAGCAAACAGAAAGCAGCUUCACGUUGGCCAAAGCCCCCAUCACGACUGAGUGAGGGCAGGGGCUGAUAAUAGGAAGAUCCCAAUUCGAAGGAUCUUUCCCCUCCCAGGGUGGGCGUUUGACCACCUUGCCCCCUGAAUACAGCACAGGCUGAGCAGGGCAAUUCCUGCUGUGUCACCUCUCCUCUGUGCCUCAGUCUCACCCUUCUAACUUACCCCAAGGGAUGCAGUUGGAGCACGUGCCAAGCUGUCUGGGACUUAAGAGAUCAGUUCUAGGGGGACGUUGGAGGCACACACCUAAUGGUCCUGAGCUUGUCACCAUCACCUAAUUGGCCACCAUCCAUUGAAGCCUCAGUUUCCUCAUCUGAAAAGUCUGUAGUUUCAAGCUCAAAUGAAGACAUCCUGGCCCUCUUGCUGUUUCUCACACACAACAUUCCAUAUUCUUCCCUCUGUGACUUGGCAUGGCACUAAGUCCACGUCUGGAAUGUGCCUUCUUCCCACCUCCAACUCUCCAAACGAGAAUCGACUUUCCUCCAGAACGUUAGAGGAAAUGGAGAUGCCCAGUUAUACCCAGGCACGGCCCACAGUUCUCCAUUGCCACAAGGACACAGAUGUGCAUGGCUCUUUGGCUUUUUUUAUGGUUUUUACACAGUAGAGGAACAGGAACACAUCAGCCAAGCUGUGAUUAGAUCCUAGUGUGUACUGCCUCUCCCAAGAGCGGGGAGUUUGAUAGAAAACAUUCCAAGGACACAAAACUCAAAGGUUAUACUGAGAGUCACCACAUGAAGUCACAUUGCUCAUCUCUGUUGUUGCUCAGUCAUGUCUGACUCUUUGCAACCCCAUUUGAGUUUUUUUUUUUGGCAAAAAUAUUGGGGAAACUGAGGCUGAGAGAAUUCCAGUGACUUUCUCAGGAUCACAGAGCUAGGUAGCAUUCAAACCCAGAUGUUCUUAAUUCCAAGUGCAGCACUCUGUCAACUGUGCCACCUAACUAGGAAGAUGAUGUGAGAUGAGGACGAGAAGGCAGGAUUUGUUCCUCCCUCAAACAACAAGGGCUUUGAGUGAGAAAAAGAAUGGGGCAGGAGACCCCUGAUACAUGGACACUGAUCAGCAAGUAUAAGUGCCAUUUGCUGUUUCCUUCUACUCCAAGCCUCUGCAGGAGACCAGCAGACAGGAGCUGGUCUUCUUGGGAGCCGAUCUCUGGUACAACGGGGGAAACUUCUGGGACUAAAACGGUGAUUGAGCAAUUGAGGAUUGUCAUUCCUAUUCAGGACACUUCAUGGGCGCCAGGAGAUCCCUUAUUCGGUCUAAGCCCAAGUCACUUUGGGACUUCCCUUAAGAUGAGCAUCAGAGAUGGAACUGGACCCCAGGACUCCUGAUUUCUACCCCCAGCUGGCUCCUUGACUCGGCCUGCUUCUCCAGAGCAUCCGGGAGCCCGGGAGAAUGUCUUCCAUUUGUAUAGGCCUUGGCCCUUCUCAUCUAUGAUCAGAAAGCCUGAGUAGAAAGGACCCUUUUAAGGCAAGGCAGCUCUUCCACUGGAGACAUGAAAAACGGAGGCCCAGGUUCACAUCGUGGAAUAGCAAGUGGCAGAGCCCAGAACUUCUACUGCCAAGUCCACCGUUGACUCUAGACACCACGGUGCCAGAGAGGCAAGUGCCAGAAGACUCCUGCACCCAGGGGCAGGCAGGCAGACACAGGUCACCUCAGUGAACUCUGUGCCUUGUGAUGGUAGAACAGAAAAGGAGAAAGAAGAGGCCAAGAGAGAAGAAGGGCAGGCCAAAGGGUUCCACUUCCUGGAAGUGGCUCCCUUCUCAGCCCCUCUCUCCUCCUCCAUAAGCCAGUCAGCUCUAUCUCCAGAUCUUUUAAAAGCACUGACCAGAUGCCAGACACUGGGGAGGGGGAGACAGCCUGGAACCAGGCCCUGCCCUCCAGGAGCCUUCAUUGUAUUGGGGCAUAGGGAAGCUGCUUUGGCUAAAGGAGAGAGUGUUGGGAGAGUCCUCUGGAAAGGCAGGCUAGAAGGUAAAUAUGAAGGGAGAAAUGUGGAUGUGAUCCUGAAGGCUUAGAUAAGGGCCCCUGAAGAGUGGUUGCCACUUGGAGAAGGCCCUUUGCCUCCAGGGAGCUCCCUAGACCAGAGGUGGCAUUCGGAACUCUCCAGACCGGCCUCAGAGCUGAGAAAUUUCUCUACUUCUGGUCACUGUGAAAAGGCUCAUCUUCUUGGGAGGAACAGGAUCCUGCCUUCUUCCCUGUCUCCCUGCACUCUGCCUCCCCAGGCUGGCCCUGCAGGGGCCCGGGCCUUGGCACCGCCAGCAUUUUCUCCUCUGAAUGCCUCCAGGGAUGCCAGCAUGAGGCCAGGUCCCCAGACAGCUGUGCGGAGCCCACAGGCCAACCCUCCUGGACCUUGCUCUUGCUGUUGCUGACUCUGCAGGUAUAACUGCUGAGGUGGUGCAGUGUCCCUGAAAAUGGGGAGCAGAGCUCCCUAUCUCUCAAUGUUCCCUACAGCUCAGGCCAAUGACCCCCUUUUCCUAUCUUCCUCAGUAGGGCUGGCCCUUGGUGGAAUUCAGCAGAGGUGCUCUUGCUGUGGCCCACCCCAACACACACACACACACACACACACACACACUGUUCAGGUUCGCCUUCAUGGGACCCCCGCCCCACUCCCAGGGUAGUCUCAGUGAAAGGGAGUCAGGAGCCCUACGUUGGAAUGAAUAAUGGUUCUCUGGGACAAGGUAUGACAAGUCAUGCCUCUUUGGGCCUCAGUUUCCCCUGACUCCCUUCCCACCGGAGGUGAUCCUAGGGAGCCAUCAAUCCCAAGUCUCUUCUCUUCCUUAGGCCUCAGUUUCUUGACCUGUAAAAUGACUAGAAGUCCUCUAAAGUCCCUUCCAGCUCUAAAUUUGCGAUUUUAUGACCCCUCCCCCAAGCUGGAUGAUGAGGGGCUCAGGCCUUCCUACCUUCCCUGUCACUCAGAGCACCUUAUUUAUUACAAGUUAGAUUCCCCAAAGGCUCGCCAGGGAAUAGGCUAAAUGAAUUCACACUAAGAUGCUAAUGGCUUAAUAGCUGAAUACCCAAGAGUGCUGAGGUUUCAACAAGGAAAUCCCGAGACUUGAGGCCUUAACCCAAAGGCAUGGAUUUUGGAUGGCAGAAGUUUCCCCAGUGUGGCGGGCCAGGGGAGGGGUGGCUUCUUUGAGCUCAGGUCCGACUGCUCAGCAGCUCAUCCAGGGCACUUUCUCAGCCAAAUGAGGGGGCUGGCCAGGAUGAUCCCUGAGGCUCCUUGCAGGCCUGACAUCUUGGGGAUCCUCUCCAGACCUCUCUGCACCUCUGCUUGGUGGGGCUCUGGCAGAUGCAGGGCUGAGCCCUCGAGCCCCUGAGAAUCCGUCAGUCAGAGGCCUACCUGGCAAUUCUGGUGCCUGUGGCAGCCCUCAAGGAUGCCUCCCGAGAGGCAGAUGGAGCAGAGGAGGAAGGCACCAUUUGGUAGCUUCCAAUUUUAACUAAUUAGUCUUGCUAAUUAGGUGCUAAACUCAUUUCUUUGGAUAGCUGCAGUGCUCCUGCUGCCAGUGUGCCCUUUAAAUCUGGCUGCCCUAAGACCAAGCUCUGACUGUCUCAUCCUAGUUACCCAGUUGUAGCCCAGCUUCUGGUUUCCAUGGCAACCUUUCAGCCAGUCUAGAACACUUACUUUGUCACUAACUGUACUGAUGUGAAACCAUCAGGACUGUGAAUCACAGGGUAGUGCAGAGUGCUUUGCCAGCCUUUGAAAUUACCUCCCCUCGGUGGUGAGUGAGUCACAGACUAAUUAGAUAGACUCAUCAGCUUCCCUUCAGCUGGGGCCGAGGCCAGACCAAGUAGACCUGCUGUCCAUGUGGGGAGAUUGGGGGGGGGGUCUCCAUGUCCCUGUGUAGCUCCAUCGACGAUGCUCAGGGCUUGAGAAGCUUGAAAUGAUUGUGUGGGUGCCAAGUCUGAGGCAGCUCUCCAGGCCAUGCUGACUUACUCUUGAGGUGCUCUGACCCCUGUGCCCCCAGGUAGCCCUCCACCCCCAAUGGCCACAUGCCUGACCCUGUUGUCCAGUCAAGGGAUGUCUUCUACCCCAAGCAUGUGAAGCCUUCCCUGCCAGAACGGUUGGGUGAGAUGGGAACAGUUCGUUCCAACAGCCGUGAAGGCGACUGAAGUAGAUGCUCGGAGCUUGGUCUGACGUGGAGGACGCCAAGGCCAUCCACUGCAUCCUGGGCCAUCGCCAGUUCUCCUCACUUCUGUCUGGCCACUGGACCUGGAUGACUCUGUACCACUCUUCCUCACUGACAUCCAAGCUGAGAGAUCACACCCAGAUGUCUCCAAAAAGAAGGGACACAAACACCACCACCACCACCAUCCCUGUGACACAGAUGAGGACACUGAGGCAGCUUAUCAGGGACCAAGGCAGGGCCCCAGCCGCCCAGGCCAGGAAAACCUGGAUCUUCUGUCCCACCUCAGAAUGUGCCUUGUAAAAGGAUGAGGGCUGGACCAGAUGACCUCCAAGCUGACUUUCAGGUCGAAAUGUAGGCUCUCUGAUCUCUGACCACCAAUUGAGAAAUACUCAUCUGAGCUAUAGUAGUAGGAGGCAGGGUGUUUGGUCAGAGGCCUAGAGAGACACGCAGAACAGGAAAGUUCUUAACCUGGGGUCCAUGGACCCGGCCUAGCCCGAAGGGGGCCACGUUUGAUUUCAGGUGGUCCAUGACCCUGAAGGGGAUAAAAAUGAUACCAUUGUUCCUACAAACCUUCAUUUCCUACUGCAAUCCUAUACAUUUUUAGUAUAUGGAUUUAAAAAGCUUAUUCUGAGAAGGGGGCCCAGAGGCAUCCCUUCCACCCUGAGCCUUCCCACUCAAGGAGUGGGCCCUUAGCACUAGAAAAGGGAAGAAGCCUCAAGAGGAGAUGGGAGAGCUAAAGCUGGCCGAGUGAUGCUUAGCAAAAUUGCAGAGAGAACUCUUGGGCAAGUGGGGGGUCCCAGUCAUUCUGGGAGGCCUUGAACCAGACUCCCAAGAUCCUAGCUGUCUCUAGCCCUUUAGCAAGGUGAGGGACUGUUCACACAAGUACCUGUUGGGAGCCCAGCAGGUUGGGACUGUUGCUAAUGUGAGGGGAGGCCAGUGUAAAUGUGACCCAGAAGGGUGCAACCUGCAAGGAAGAGCUCACCUAACCAAGCUCUCAGAAAGGUCUGGAAAUGACCACGUCAAUGGUAAUUCACAAACGGACCAUAGGCUGCCCAAUUCUCUACACAAACAAGAAAGCAGGUGAGAUUGGACCCUUGCAUCGGAAGCAGGGGAGCUCUAGCAUGUUUAUUAUGGUGAAGAGAGGCCCCAACAGCAGUGUUCCUGAAGCCACAGGACGGAGAUGAUCAUUGCUAAGAGCUCAGAGGCUUCUUGUGGCCAGGGUGCACUCUCGUGGAAGGUUUUCAGUGCUGUGUGGCACAGGCCGAGAAUGGAGGUGGGGCUUCCAAGAGCUGGGCUUUAGAAGGCCGGAGCCUGGAAAGGAGGAAUGAGGCCAGGCAUGUUCCAACAUCAGGAGGAACGUGGCCAGAGAGAUCCAGGACAUUUGCCACUUUGUGUCAGGCACUGUGCUAGCAGCCUUUGGCCUUCAGGGAUUUAGUCUCUUGAGGACCUCACACAAAUUUCAAGAAAUACCAACUCCUAAAACCUGGGGGAGGGGGGUCAACAAAGAGUCCUAGUGGCAGGGGAUGCUUGGGCUGAACUCAAGGGGGGCAGGGGUUCUUGGAGGAAAGGCUGGGGGGCAUUCCAGGAAUAGGAGUCCAGCCUGCGCUAAGGCAGCAAUGGGGGCGAUGGCUAGUCGGGUAUGGGGAGCACUGGGAAGGCCAUUUGGGCUGGAUGGGAGAGUGCUUGGAAACAAGGAUUGUGGAGGACUUUACACACCAAGGGGCUGGAAUUCCCAAGGCUAGGGCAUACCCACAAGAGCUCAGCACUUCCUUUCUAGGAUGAACCACCUUCCCUCCUCUUCUAGCUAUCAGGUUGAGCUGUGCAGCUUCUUCACUUCCAUCGCUCAGCAUUUCUGGGCCAUAUCAUCAGUCAUGCCCCUGGCACCGGGUACUGCCCCUCUCCUUUAUGGGUUCUCUUCCCCCAGGAGAUGCUUGAAGGCCAGGAUCAGCAUCUGUACCUUUCUCGGCACCCACAGCAGUGCUCGGCACAUGUUAAGCACAUGCUAAGCACUUAUUGCAUGCUUUAGCAAUGUGUCAUCGUGGUGGGAGCACAGUGGGACUGGAGAUUUGGUCAGCGGAGCCCUCGUAGCUAUGUUGUAGGAGGCCAGAGUACUUCCUCCCAGCUCCCAGGACAGGCAGCUGCCACAGUCUGGUGUUUUGCUGACCGAGAUACGGUGAAGGAGAAGAUGGAGUUGUGGUGAGUGGGUCUCUACUGGGGUUUUGGGCCUUCCUGGCAUGUAGAGUUAGCUCUUUGGUGGGGUAGGUGUCCCUAUCCAAUCCAGGCCUUGGAAGGAUAAUGUCAGCAGCCAAUGAACCUUUGAAGAAAUGGUACCCGACUUCUGCUCUGAUACUCUGCACCCCAAGCUGCCUCCUUUCCUGUGGGCCUCAAUUCCCCUUGCCUUGUCCCCCACCACAUAAAAGGGUCUGACUAGAUGGCCUCGUCCUGUUCUGACUCUAAGGAUUCCUGAUCUUUUCCAUGAGCCUCGUGUCCUCGAGCUCUUCAAGGCUCUAUUGGCUUCCCCAGGGCGGUGCCAGCACCCAGGUUUAGCAUCUCAGGGCUGUAGCCUUUGUUCUCAAACAUUUCCUACCCUCUUCAAAAGGAUCCUGCCCACCCCUACCCCCACUCACAGCCGCUGAGGGCCCUGCUUUCUUGUAGAUCAUCGCUUCUAGCAUGGUGGUGGGAGUGCACAUGACUGAGUCUGCCUUCCUAAAGCAGGGACAGGCUACAAACAAGCUCCACUCCAAAGGGGCACCCCCCAAUCAGAGGUUCAUUAGAAUAGCAAGCAUUGCCGUUUUUCCAGGCUGUGAGGCAUACUUGUGCACACAUGGAGCAAGAAGGGGGGCACUGCAACACUUUACAAAUGAGGGCUUGUUCAGGGGAGCUGUAGAAAAAUGGAGAAUUGAAGAGGAAAAUGGGCUUCGAGGGAGAGGGAGUGCUAACUGCUGGCCCCUCAGGUGCCCACUCCACUGGCAUCCUUCUGAUGUCCAGAGAACAUGAGGAAGGCCUCUCGGGGCAAACUAGGGGAGGACAUGGCCGUGGCCAGGCUGAGCAGGCCCCAGCGGGCCUUAAUCUGUAUCCCUGGAGGGAGCAUCCAGACCGAGGAGGUCACAGAUGACUUGGAGCAUUUCUGGAUUGAGGAGGCAGUCCAAGUGUUAUGGCUCCAGGCUACACAGCUAGGAAGCGUCAAAGCCAGGGUUCAGGAGGCCACAGGCAUGAGGGAGACAUAAGGUGUGUGUAAAGUGCACAGCAGACUUUAUUCUCAUUCUCCCCCCUGAGCACGUUUGCAGAUAAGCUCGAGGGCAUGUUUAAGGCCAGAAGUUUGUGGGGAAGGAAGCGUGGAGGGGGCCAUCUUUGUCUAGAGCCAAUCCAAGCCUCAGAGGGAGAUUUGCAUGGGAAAAUGUCAGAGGUAGUGAGUCUAAUGUGACUGUCUGGCCAUUCAGGCUUUCCCUAGUGGGGGUGGGGGCCAGAGCCAUCCCUAAAACAGUGUGAGUUUCCCCAGCCAUUCCCAGUACCCAUGCCACCCAUCCUGAAGGGGCCACGAAGUUCUACACAGCUCUGGGAAUGGGGGCCAUGGAGGGAAGGUCGGGCUUUGGCUUGCCAAGAAGGGACAACUGAUGGGCAGCUGAGGCGUGUGAACCUCAGAUCUUCUUUUGGGGUACCCUCCCCCCAAAUCCCACCCUCUUCCAUCACUGCCUAUCGUGGGUUGGUAUGUGCCAGGCCCCCUGCCCUCUCCCAGACAGAACUCUCUGGAGGUGUCCAGAGUCAACAGUUUGCGCAAGGCAGCAAAUUCCUCCCCAGGCUCCUGGGCUCUGUCCUACCAGGGAGCCAUUUUGUUGCUUGGGGCAAGUCACAUGGAGCAGGACUUCAAAUCAAGCUUUUGAGACAAAUUCAUUUGUUGGAGGGAGAGAUAGUUGGGCACAAAGUGGGGGGCAUCACACCAAAAUGGGGAAACAGAUGCCUGCGCUGAGGUAUUGAGCCUUCCUGAAGCUGCUUCUGAGGAGGUCAGAACAGGGCUUGUUGAGGUGGGGUCAGAGAAUUAGCUUGGGUGCCAACAAUUAGUGAGGGGAGGCAGUGACUAAUUAUUCUCAUUAAUUAGGUGCUGAGUUCAAUUGUUUCUGUGCUACCAAAGGAGAGUAAGGGCUGUCGUCACCCUCUCAAUUUGGGUGUCCUGGGACAAAGGCCUGCUUGCCACAGCCUAGUUAUGGCUUGGUACC